AUUCAUGUUAUCUAUUUGUUCAGUGUUUGAAACCUAAACUAAUUUUCGUGCUUCAUAUAUAUGGCUGAUAUGUGAGUGUAAAAAACUGAUUGCUGAAUAACUCUCUCAAUAUUCAUUGGAUUGUCUUGAAACCAUCACCAAAAUAUAUGUAAUCAUUUCUUAUAAUAGGAUUGAACAUUUAAUGUUAAAAAUAUGUAUUUUACAGUGUUUGAACUUUAAACUAAUUUUUCGUGCUUCAUUUAUGGCUGGUAUUUGAGUGUAAAAAAACAGAUUGUUGAAUAACUCUCUCAAUAUUCAUUGGAUCUUCUUGAAACUUUCACCAAAAUACUUUGUUUGAAACAUAUACUAAUUUUUUGCGCUACAUAUAUGGUUCUUAUGUGAGUGUAAAUAAUUGAUUGCUGAAUAACUCUCUCAAUAUUCAUUGGAUCAUCUUGAAACCAUCACCAAAAUACAUUUGUUAGGCGAGGUCGUUUUGCAUUUCUAAGAAUUGCCAGUAAGGACGAUAACAUCCUGGAGAUUGUUGUUUUAAAUGUGAAAACAAUUCCAAGAACUAAUCUAAAUUGGAAGGUUGACGAUUACAACAAUAAGAGAUUUUCUUGUAUAUAAGGGAGUCCGAAGACCAACAGGGGCAGAUGUACCAGAGCUACGAAGACCUGAGCAACUUCACGACACUCAGCCACUUUUUGUAUCAGUUACAUGUAUUUUAUUUAUAUAGAAUAGACAUUAUUGUAUUUAAGAGUUGUAAAUUUUGUUUUAAUAACACCUUGGAUCUGGAUCUGAUAUUGGCACGCAACAUUAUUUACAUUGUCAAAAAAGUAAUAAUAACUAUAUAUUGGUUGUAUACAUGUUUAAAGUUUAAUAAAAGGAAGUAAUCAGUUAAUAAUUUAAUAUAAUUGUUUAUGAAAAUCAGGAUGACAAAUUUUACAGUUAAUAAAUGUGAUAAAUAUAUUUAA
Melanaphis sacchari is the source of this 953-nucleotide long non-coding RNA. RefSeq lists it as uncharacterized. The transcript has 3 exons. The record is from RefSeq and is a predicted model, not a curated record. NCBI's taxonomy places the organism in Eukaryota, Metazoa, Arthropoda, Insecta, Hemiptera, Aphididae.